CUCUCUCUCUCACACACACACACACACACACACAAAUGUAAUUUUUAAUAAGGAGUCUCUUUCUCUUGGCCUCCAUUCCCCUGCAUCCUCCCCCUUGGAGCCCAUGGCUCCUGCCAGGUGCCCCUCCCAACAGCCCCCUUCUCUGAGUCCUCUAACCCCUUCCCUUCCUUCACGUGUCAUCAAGCUACAGGUGAUAGCUGUCCCCACUGUUGCUAGCCUCCAAGUGCCUCACUGGCCCUUACCGGCUGCCUGCAGCCCCUCCCACACCUUUGUAAGCAGCACCCACUUGAGCAUGCCUCCUGUUUCCUACUAGACCUGACCAUAGGGCUUUAUGAGGAGAAGACUAUCGUCUCCAUUGUAAAACCACAAACCCCAGGCUCAGAGAAGUUGAGCAACCCGUGCGAGGGUGCAUAGCAGAGCUGGGUCUCAAUUCCAGGUGUUCCAGUGUGAGCCUUGGCAUUGGGCUAGAGGGCUUCCCACACACUAAAACCACCUCCAGAGUCCACGUAUCAGUUUCCUUUGCUGUUUUUUUCUCCCCACAACUAUCUUUUGAAAGUAUGAAAAUUGGAACUGCUAGUAAAGAAGGUGGCGGAGGUGGAGAAAGGAUACCAGGCCCGUUAAACUAGGCCUCGAGCCCUCAUUCGCUAAGCUCUCUGCUGACGUCGCAGCCCCUGAGGGCUGAAGCAAAGUCCUGAACUGGCCAAAAGAGGUGACCUGAGGUUUCCUGAGAACUGCGGUACCCUUGAGUCUUCCACAGGGCUGAGAUGCAGUACAGCUCUGGUCCUUCAGCUCAGCUCUGAUACCCUAACUAGGGCCGCGGUACUUUUUAAAGUUUUGAAACUGCUGAUUCAGUUUGCAUAAGGAUAUUACUUUUUUUUAAGGAACUUUCAAAAACACCUAAAAUUUAAUUGUAGGUUUUGUUCAGUUAGAGACUCCCUGGGUGCAGAAUUUUCUCUACUUCCCAGCAUUUUUAGAAUGUGAUGUCACUUGGGGUUGGAGGGAGACUCUGGGGACAAUGGACAGGAAGUUGCUGCUGGGCCUUUGAGAUGCCCAGUAGGCCAAAGGGCCUUUUAGACCCUGGAACGCAGCUCAUAGCAGCUGUCUGCUCCUGCCUUGUCUCGCCAGUCCUGGAGCAUGCCCCAAAAGAGCUGGCUUGUAAGCAGAUUGUCGGUGUCAGGAAGCCAGUGUUCAUGUUCCCAGUGCCUGUCAAGGGUGUGUGAUGUGGAGCAGCGGACACCUGGAAAAGGAAAAUCCAGAAAGGAGAAAAGCGAAUGAAAAAGAAAUCAGAGGGAAUUACAGAACUAGGUUGGACAGGCAUUGGAAGAGCUCUGUGACAGCCACUCUGAUCAACCAUGUCUCCACUUUUAAGUCCUGAUUGUACUUAUGAAUGAUGAACCAUGUCUGCACAGACUGUCCAGGGAUCACAUAAACAGUUUGGGUGAUUAUA
Nannospalax galili (Upper Galilee mountains blind mole rat) is the source of this 1447-nucleotide long non-coding RNA. RefSeq lists it as uncharacterized. NCBI's taxonomy places the organism in Eukaryota, Metazoa, Chordata, Mammalia, Rodentia, Spalacidae. The record is from RefSeq and is a predicted model, not a curated record. The transcript is spliced from 2 exons.